Molecule: small RNA, 117 nt
Filed under: Pantoea agglomerans
Lineage: Bacteria; Pseudomonadati; Pseudomonadota; Gammaproteobacteria; Enterobacterales; Erwiniaceae
Description: Insertion sequence IS1222 ribosomal frameshifting element
Rfam family: Insertion sequence IS1222 ribosomal frameshifting element
About the family: This family represents the insertion sequence IS1222 ribosomal frameshifting element. The element stimulates frameshifting which is known to be required for transposition.
Source: RNAcentral
GGCGCUUAAGGUGGCGCUGGGCCGAAAGUUCUGACGACAGAUCGGAAGCGGGAAGCCGUGGAAGUCAUGUGUGAUGCAACGGGUCUGCCGCAACGCCGUGCCUGUAGGCUGGCAGGU